UUGACCUGCUUUGAACCUGCUGCAGAACCACAGAGCAGAAGAACGACCCUGUGUUUUUCUAUGUGGUCAGAAUUUGAGACAAUGAGAGCAUACGGAAAAUUACUGCUAGUUUAGAAUGUGAACCCCGUGACUCUUUGGAGUCAAAGAGGGGAGGGACUUGUGCUGUAUAUAAUGAGAGACCUUGUAAUGCUCAGUACGCUCUUCUUUUGGAGGGCGUCCAAUUCUGCAGAAUUUGUUAAUAAAAUCUUUGUUCUCUUGAAUUUGUCCAGAGCGAUUAUUUAGAAGUGAAUUUUCAUUUCUAACAACUUGGGGGCUCGUCCGGCUCCACACUCCGGCUGCAGUGGGCUCGAGGAAGGAAAUCGGAGACGGUGCACCCUACCGAGUUCGGUAGUCCCCGAUUCCUUACUCGCCGUCCCGCUUCGCAGCUUGAGCGAGUGGUAUCCGGGAGGCUCAGGAGAACAAAGAGGGAGGAGACUGGCCAGUCAUAAAGGGAAAAACGGGCAGGGGAUCGAGUAAUUUUGGUGCACUGAAGCCAGGGAUUCCUGACUCAGACCCCUCCACUCGAUAUCCACCUCCACAAAGUGGAACCGGGAGACUGGGUUUUGAUAAAAUCCUGGAAACCGAAGAAACUCCAAUCACUCUGGGAGGGACCGUUUCAGGUGUUACUCACCACCGAAGUUGCCAUACGAACAAAAGAAAAAGGGUGGACUCACGCCGCCAGACUAAAAGGCCAGGUGUCGCCGCCCAAAGAGGACUCUUGGUCAUGUGAGGCCGGUGAUGGACCGUUGGUGGUGAAGUUAAAGAGACAACCAAAAUGAACUCUAUUAUGACUGUUCUAGCAUUUUCUGUUAUAUUGUUUGUUCUUGCUCUGAUAAGGGGCGUGUUUGGUAACUGUGAUAAAUGCCGCUCUAGGGUUCGGGUGUGGGACACUGAGUUAGACUUACGCGGAUCUUUUAUAUCCCACUCCUCUUAUGCAAAUAAUACUCGCUGUUAUGACAUAUACUCACGCCAAAAGUGCUGGGAAAAAGGAAAACUAUACUAUCAAGUAAAAAAAAACAGGGGAUAUCUCGGUCUGUCUAGGGCUAGGGCCUAUCAUUGCCCCUUUAUGAAUUACGAAUGGUUGUGUAUGUCAGCAGACAGUUUACAGGGACAUGCUGCAUUACUGGAAACAGACAAAAGUAGAACUAAAAGGGAAUGUGCCAAACGCGGGGCUAUAAUUCAACUGGGAGAUCCUAAUUUCUUCUCCCUUUGCCAUGAUGAGGGGUCCCGGGAGGAAUGUUGGAAGGAUGGGAAAUUGUUUUAUCAAAGGUUAAACAAGGGUUAUGUUGGUUGGCCUGAGGGGAGAGUCCGUGAGUGUAUUUGGGAAGAACAUGAAUGGGUCUGCAUAAAAAAAAGACAGCUGGGAUAUGGCUAACAGGCCGUGCGACAAAUGCCGCCAAAUUGUGAAAUGGGGAAACCAUGUCUUUCCGGGGCCUUUUGUGAUUCACACUAAAAUAAGUGAUGCCUGUUACAACCGGGAGAAAAUGAUACCAUGUUGGGAGGAUGGGGAACAUUACUACCAGGUAUUCAGCCUGGGAUAUUACACGAGUGGAAAUAUAGACUGUCCACUUAUGGAAUAAUGGCUCUGUAUCAGUUUUACUGGAUCGGCAGCGGACCACUUUGACCGGGUUAGGGAAAUAUAUCCCGGGUUAGAGAAAUCUAUUCCAAAUUACGAUGCCAGAAUAGCCGCCUCUGCCAAGGUUUCCUCCCUCUAUGAGGACAUUGAGAGUCGGCUUACUCUUCCUUAUGUUGCGAAAAAAAUCUCUUUAUUGACUUCACGUCUCAAAUUGCCAAAAUUUUAAAUGUGACGAGCUGUUGGGUUUGUGGGGGUCCGCAUAUGACCGAGCAGUGGCCAUGGACGGGGGAGAGUUUGGAUGUUCAGGAAAUCCUUGAAUACAAUUGGACUUACUCCACGAACAGAAUUUAUCAAGUCUGGAAAUUGCAGAAUACCCCGGCGGGCCACUUCUGCGUUGGGAAACAAGGGUCCCGCCCAGUUGGUGACAGCCCCUGUCAGCGGGUCUUGAAUCUCACCACAGACACUUGGUGGCCCCGACCCUUGGUUGGUUUCUCACCAAACAACCCCUUGGGUUGUCUCUCACCCAACAAGGGGAUCUUAACUGUAGGCGGUUGCAUCCCACCUCUGAUUCCUGGAAUUGCAGUGGUUCUGGCCCUUAUGCGGGAAUGCCGGGAAUUAGAGAGGCAUGGGACGGUGUUGCCAGGGACAGUGGAGGGGGUCCGGCUCCUGAUGGUUUAUUUUGGAUUUGUGGGGAUCUGGCGUAUUCCAGGUUACCACAGGAAUGGGGUGGCUUAUGCUUCCUUGGUAUAGUCAGACCGGAGUUCUUUCUCCUCCCCCGUGAUCAAGGGGCUGACCUGGGGUUAAGUGGAGGCCCGGAAGACUGGCACGGAAGCGUAGGAGUGCUAGUCAGUGGAAUGUCCACAAGUGGGGCGCAGAUUGGCCACCGUCCCGUAUUAUUGAGUAUUAAGGGCCGGCAAGUUGGGCUCAGGAUGGCUCUUGGGGUUACAGAACUCCAAUUUAUAUGCUUAAUCGUAUCAUUCGCUUGCAGGCGGUGAUGGAAAUAAUCACCAACAAAACCACCUUCGCAUUGGAAUUACUGGCUAGAUAGCAGUCUCAAAUGAGGGCUGCAAUAUAUCAGAAUCGUCUUGCUUUAGACUACCUGCUUGCCUCUGAAGGGGGUGUCUGCGGGAAGUUUAACACGACAAAUUGCUGUCUGGAAAUAGACGAUAACUACGAGGCUGUCCUAAAAAUCACCCGGGACAUCCGUAAAAUAGCCCAUGUACCUGUCCAGACGUGGCGACCUAUAGGGGACGCUAGUUGGUGGAACACGCUUUUUGGGGGUGGCUGGUGGCGCAUGGCAUUAAUAAUGAUGGUGGGUAUCGGGGCCCUGUUCCUCGUUAUUCCCUGUCUGGUCCCCUGUGCUAGAGUGUUGAUCCAACGCCACAUCGCCCAGAUGCAAGCCAUUGCCAUACCCCAACAUGGUACUCAUGAACUUAAAGUUCUGCUGUUGAAAAGACAGAAGGACUUCCUUGAGCCGUAAUUCAGCCGAUUCUGUUACGCAUGCACAUCUUAAAAAGAAAAAGGGUGGAAUUGUGAGAGUGAGAUCUGGCUUAAUAAGAAUUAUUAAGAUGUGCAUGGCAUUAUAAUCUUUAAACGUGAGCAUUAUCAUAUUGAAUAAGCUAAACUUUUUGCUGCUUUAAAACCCAGAUUUCUGAUGCUAUUAAGCUCUCUUUGUAUAACCAUUUCUGUACUUAAAAUAUUGUCAGCAUUGAACCCUCAGAAUGGGGAAGUGUUAACAGUUAAUAAGAAACAAGCUACUUGGUGCAAGGGUCGGCUUUGUGUUAACAGAAUGGAGAAACAAAUCCAGACAUCUGCUGAUGUAUUGUGAAACCACAGGACAAGAAUAAAAUGUGAGAUGUCUGUUGACCUGCUUUGAACCUGCUGCAGAACCACAGAGCAGAAGAACGACCCUGUGUUUUUCUAUGUGGUCAGAAUUUGAGACAAUGAGAGCAUACGGAAAAUUACUGCUAGUUUAGAAUGUGAACCCCGUGACUCUUUGGAGUCAAAGAGGGGAGGGACUUGUGCUGUAUAUAAUGAGAGACCUUGUAAUGCUCAGUACGCUCUUCUUUUGGAGGGCGUCCAAUUCUGCAGAAUUUGUUAAUAAAAUCUUUGUUCUCUUGAA
This is a long non-coding RNA of Hemiscyllium ocellatum (epaulette shark), 3737 nucleotides long. RefSeq lists it as uncharacterized. NCBI's taxonomy places the organism in Eukaryota, Metazoa, Chordata, Chondrichthyes, Orectolobiformes, Hemiscylliidae. The record is from RefSeq and is a predicted model, not a curated record. The transcript has 2 exons.